GAAGUGAUUAUCCUCAAAUAAUUGCUCCGAUCCGGAUUCUCGGAAGUAUCAAUUUUGACACCGGAACCCUCCGCAGCUCACCGGUCAUCUCUGAACUCUUGAAGUGACGUAGGUGACCAGCCAUAAGGCUCGGUGGCAAAGCACAACAUGUUCCAACAACGUCGGAUAAAAUUCGACCCGAAAUCGUGUUUUGCCAGCCGAUUUCGCAGAAAAACACACCGAAAUUGAUAUUCGAUCUUUG
This 241-nucleotide long non-coding RNA is filed under the name Ananas comosus (pineapple). RNAcentral describes it as "long non-coding RNA (ACOM_LNC013500)". The record is from RNAcentral. Lineage: Eukaryota; Viridiplantae; Streptophyta; Magnoliopsida; Poales; Bromeliaceae.